This 467-nucleotide ribosomal RNA is filed under the name uncultured bacterium. Its description in RNAcentral is "partial 16S ribosomal RNA". It matches the Rfam family "Bacterial small subunit ribosomal RNA", at positions 29 to 507 of the family's 1533-position model. The record is from RNAcentral.
ACGAACGCUGGCGGCGUGCUUAACACAUGCAAGUCGAACGGAAAGGCCCUGCUUUUGUGGGGUGCCCGAGUGGCGAACGGGUGAGUAACACGUGAGUAACCUGCCCUUGACUUUGGGAUAACUUCAGGAAACUGGGGCUAAUACCGGAUAGGAGCUCCUGCUGCAUGGUGGGGGUUGGAAAGUUUCGGCGGUUGGGGAUGGACUCGCGGCUUAUCAGCUUGUUGGUGGGGUAGUGGCUUACCAAGGCUUUGACGGGUAGCCGGCCUGAGAGGGUGACCGGCCACAUUGGGACUGAGAUACGGCCCAGACUCCUACGGGAGGCAGCAGUGGGGAAUAUUGCACAAUGGGCGGAAGCCUGAUGCAGCAACGCCGCGUGCGGGAUGACGGCCUUCGGGUUGUAAACCGCUUUCGCCUGUGACGAAGCGUGAGUGACGGUAAUGGGUAAAGAAGCACCGGCUAACUACGUG